Sus scrofa (pig) is the source of this 5073-nucleotide non-coding RNA. NCBI's taxonomy places the organism in Eukaryota, Metazoa, Chordata, Mammalia, Artiodactyla, Suidae. The record is from RefSeq and is a predicted model, not a curated record.
UCGAACCUGUGUCCUCUUGGAUGCUAGUCAGAUUUGUUUCCUCUGAGCCAUGACGGGAACUCCCAGAUUCGUUUUUGAUGAGCUACAACGGGAACUCCAUGGUGAUGGUUGUUUUUAAAGAGAUUUGUCAACCGUUUCUACUGAAUUCCUUUUAUAGAUACUGGAACUUAUAAGAUGAUUUUAUGUCAUUUUAAUUCUGCUGGUGUAUUUACUGAGUCUUUAAUGUUGACUCUGCACAUGUGGCAUGAUGGCCCAUGUGAACUGUCCUGCUUUGCUAGGCUCCUGGUUUGGGGAGAAAGAUGCAAAUGACUGAGAGGCCUUCUGGGGGCACAGAUCAAGCCUUGUUCCAAGGGAGGGGAGGUGGGCUGGGGGCAGGUGAGUAAUUCCCAUGCUCCCUUGAAUGAAGGUUGGGCACUCUUUGGGGUAGAAACCCCAAGGGCAGAUGUGAUAAUAGUAGUAGUAGAAGAAAGCUGUGAAGAAAAGAAAAGAAGAAGAAUGCAAAAUAUCUUCUUAAUAAUUUUUAUUUUUGGUGUGCAUUGAAGUGACGAUAUCUUAGAUGUACUAGAUUAAAUAAAAAUAUUAGUACAAAAAAAAAAAAAGAAGAAGAAAGCUGUGGAUCAGACAUCCAAUCUCAUUUAGAUUUUCGAAAAGGCGCAGUAGUGUAAUGGGCCUAGUGGAGGACCAUUCUUUGUGUUAGGAAAAUGGGUGUUGUAUUUCGGUUAUACCAGCCUGGCCUUGGGUUUAUCACACUUGUUGAAAGUGAUGUUUGCUUUUCUCUAGGAUGCUUUCUGUCUCUUGGGUCAUUUUUUAUCUUGUGACGUGUUUCUCAUUUUAGUUAAUAUCUGGAGACCACUUGCAGGAAACAAUUUGAUAAACCGGUACCAGAAAGAAACCUUUGCACCCAGGACAAGAGUGCCCAGCGGGUGUCCAAUAGAUGUGGCACAUUUCAAGGCCUACGUGGUGGCUGAGUGUUCAAUAGGACUGUGAUUAAACUCUAUCACCGUGGUUUACUUUAUAUACGAAAGGUAUUCUUGAAAAGUUGUACAGAAAUCUAAUGUUGGGUUUAAGUGCCAUUAGGCCCUAGAAAACUUGUUUUAAAAACGUCUUAGCCAUGGCUUUUGUAUAUAUAUGUAUUUGUAAGCAAAUAACCAGUCCCUACUCACCUGUUCCACUAUUUUAAGUUUUGGAUGGAAGUGUCGUUUAGAGGCUCUGACAGCCAAAUCAGGUGUCCUUUUGUUGGGCUCAGUUUAGUUUUAUGUUGUUCCUAUGUCUGGGUUCAGAUGGAUUGUGGUGCUUGCAACAGCAUCACUGGUGAAUUACUGACCUCUUACUAAUAGGUAGCUUUAAAAACCACCUGGGAGCAGGAGCUGCCAUUGAUGGUACGCAUAGGUUUGUCGGUGACUGUGAAAGGCCUUGCACUUUUAACACUCUGGGCAGAGGAGCUUGGUGACUCAGCCACACUAAUCGGCAGCCGCCGCGUGGGACAGAUGGCCUGUAUGUGGAGCCCAGCUCUGCCAGUUCCCACCUCAGCGAUUAUGGUAGGAAGUAGAACAGCUUCUACAUCUGAUGCCCACAGGAUAGGGCAUGGCUAAGAGGCAGCUCUGUUUAAGCGUUUGUUGUUCCAGCUCAACUUCCACGCAGCGGGCGCCAAGACCUAGUGUGCAAAGAAGUGGUGAGUGUUUGCAAGCAUGAGGGCCGUUGAGGGCGAGUGGAUCGUGGCCUUGGCAGCAGCUACUUCCCUGGGUCAGCCUGCUGGUGGAGUUCAUAGAGAAGCCGAGAGACUCAGUAUUUGUGAAAGUCUGCCCAGGGGCCGGGGAUGCACGCCGGAAGAAAAAGCUUCUGCAGAAGAACUAGUCUCCCACUGUGCGCCUGGUCGCUAUACCUGCACGGCCUUAUAGAGGCCGAAUCCCUUGAGCUCCUACCCUCCAGCUCCUUGACCAUGCGGCACUACUAAGGGCCAGGCAGGAAUCCCACCACCGAAGCUCAGAGCUUGUGGGGACUGCCCUCUGCUCCCUCUCUGAUCACCAGUGCCCACUCACAGUCCCGGAAACUCACAUGGGGACCCAUUCUUCCCACAGGGAUUCCACAUCAGGCUGAUCAGUCCCCGAGGACCGUGAGGGAGGGUCUCCGCUUGGUGUCCCCCUGAGGAACAUGGGGUCCCCAAGCAGGGAGGAGACCCUUCCUUGCAGCUGAGUUAGACCACUGGGGCUCCACACAAAGUUACUGUGGCACAGCACGGAUGGCCACUGCUCCACUGACUGACCUCUCUUCCUGUGGGGACCAUGCCCCAAGGCUCCCUGAGACAUCCUUUCCUGCGACUUCUCUCACCUCGUCUUGGGGGAUGGGAUGAACUAAGUUGCUGUACUUCCCAUCAGAGAGGGACGUCCCUCAUCAUGUGGGAUGGCCCCUGGGGAGAGCCUGCUCUCCACCUGAUGAUGCUUGGAGAGCGGCCCAUCCAGCUGCCCUGCCGUGACAGGAAGCUCCCAUGUGCCCGUGGCCACAGGACUAGCAUGGCCUUCCUUUUUUUGAUUUCCUCAUCUGCUGAUUUUUUUUUUUUUUGUCUUUUUUUAGGGCUGCACCCAUGGCAUAUGGAGGUUCUCAGGCUAGGGGUCUAAUUGGAGCUGUAGCCACCGGCCUAUGCCAGAUCACAGCAACGUGGGACCGAGCCGUGUUUUCCACCUACACCACAGCUCACGGCAAUGCCAGAUCCUUAACCCACUGAGCAAGGCCAGGGAUCAAACCCGCGUCCUCAUGGAUGCUAGCUGAGUUCGCUAACCCCUGAGCCACGGCAAGUACUCCCCCCCGUCUGCUAAUUUUUAUUUGAUUUAUCGCGUUAAGUUUUACCUGUUAUUGGAAAUUGCCUUAAGCCAUUAUUAGGGCAUGGAAGUCUAUAAAAAUAUACACAGUAAAACCCAGAGCACUCAUCAAGAUGGUCCUUCUCCCACAGUAAGUGCAAACAUCUGAUGUGUUAUUUUUGGUUCUAAAUGACCCCAACCGAUCUCCUGCCCUGCCUGGAUUCAUCUGAUAAUCACUGCGUUUGCUUUCCACUCAGGCUCGCAUAGACAUGUGAACUCAGUGUCCAGGCUUUGCUGCACUUCCUGGAUGAGCUUCUGCAAAUGUAGAAAAAGUUGCCCAGGGCCUAUCACAACAUGCUUUUUCCAAACUGUAGAUAGCAAACAGUUGAAUCUAGUUUAGGUUUGUCAUUGCCCUUAUUUUAAAGUUGUCCUGGUUUCACUGGGCCCUGAAGAUGCUGGUUUGGCCCAGACCUGGUGACUACUCCUCAACGUUCCAUUUUGUACCUGCAUGAUAGAGGGGUCUACUCCAGAAUGGGAUUUUGAAAAUUCCUUGGGAAUAGGUAUAAAAUCCCUUUGGUUUAAAAGCAAACUCAAAAUUUGUGAAAGGAGACCAUCCUUCCUUGGGGAAUUAUUCCCUUUUGUUCUUUUAUUUACUUAUUUUUUUUUUUUUUGUAUUUUUAGAGCUGCACCUGCAGCAUAUGGAAGUUCCCAGGUUAGGGUUUGAAUUAGCUACCCCACAGCCACAGCAACACGGGAUCUGAGCCACAUCUGCAACCGAUACCAUAGCUCAUGGCAAUGCUGGAUCCUUUAAACCACUGAACAAGGCCAGGGAUGGAACCCACAUCCUCAGGGAUACAAGUCAGGUUCGAAAACCACUGAGCCACAACGGGAACUCCUCCCCUUUGGUCUUAUUCAACCUAUGAUGGAGUCUCUGGAGACUUACCGCUGAUGCCAGUGCUUGUUUGAAGUUCAGGGCCCCUGGCCACUACCUUCUCAUGUUACCAUGGGCCAAGGAGGCCAAGAAUGUAAAUGUGUAAAUGGCUACAGAAUCAGCUGUCAGCUGGUGGGUGAGACUGAACACGGUGAUUCUGGGGUCUUUGCUGUCCAAUGUUUUAUGUGGGGACUUUGGCUAGAAGGUGGGGCGUGGCCACAUGGAAUUGGUCCGACAGUGCUGGGCACUGUGAGAGCUAUGGGGCUGUGAGUUUGAACAAAAUAGGCAGCAUGCUUGGGUGGCCUGAGGGAGACAGGAGCCCAGGGACGAGUCAUUCUGAGUCACGGAUGCUCCUGAGGCAGUGAGAAGGGGGCUCGGCUUGCCCAUCUGCUGCAUGGAGGGAUCCACCUUCAGCCUGGAGGAGGGCAAGCCAGAUGGGCUUAGGGCAUCUUCUGCACCCCAGCCACCCUCCUUUUUCCAAGCUGACCUGGAAGGCUCGCUUCUCCAGUUACCUCUGGCUUCCAACACUCUCUAAAUGUUCUCCAAAAAAAAAAAAAAGAAGGAAAUAAAGAAAGAGGAAAAGGAAGAACGGAAGAGUGGAAGAAAGGAAGCGAGGAAAAGGCCAAGGUAAACAUUGCCCCACGCAAUCCCUGAGCUUCACCAAGUCUCUGACCUCUUCAUCCUUGGGCUUCCAUCCUGGCUACGGGCCAUUUCCCCUCUCCCGGCACCGUGGGCCCUCGUUGGACUUCCUGCAAGAGAAGGGCUGACCAGGCUGCGGGCCGGGCGUCCUGACCUCCUCCCCUCACACCAAGUCCACUGCAACCCUUCACCACCUUGCUUCAAACAUCGGUGUCACGUGACUGUUUCAUCACCAUGUUCAUGGGAAUUGGAACAGCGCAGAGGAUGUGCGCUGGGGAAAGGCCACGUUUACUAACAAGGUAUUUGUGUCGUUUGCAGAGGCUUUCCCAUCUCAGGGCGGCGUUCAGGCCGUGAGGGGCUGCGGCGGAGAUGGACGCAGAGGAAGAAGGGCAGAUGUGCUCUCUCACUGAAAGGCACUUUCUGAGGACCCUCGGAGCGGGCCACCAUGCCCUGGGAGCGCCCUGGUCACCUCUGUGGCCCACGAGGGGUGCUGACUCCCGCGUCUGGAAUUCUUCAAUUCUCGGGGGCCCUGUGCCCUCCUGCAGUGGUGACCUCUGCCUGCUCUUCUCCCUCCCGCGUCCUCCCCCCUCCCCCCACACUUCCCCACAUCUCAGUGGCCCUCCUGUCCUUUCCCACAGGGCCCAUCUGCUGUCCUUUUGUCACCUUGUAGCUCUUGCUUGUUAUUAAAUCUAUUUUUGAGAAAAACAA